UCCUCUAUAUAUAAUGGAACGCCAGCUUCUAUCUCAAGAUUCAAUUAAGGCAUUCUCUCUUUCUUCACAAAUCACAAUCAUUCAUUUGAUUGAAUCAAAAGAAGUGAGAAAGAGCAAUUACAACAAUGGCUGAUCAACUCACCGAUGAACAAAUCUCAGAAUUUAAGGAAGCCUUCAGUUUGUUCGACAAGGAUGGCGAUGGUUGAUACAACACUUAUUGGGAGUCGAAGUAGGCAUUCUUUAUCAUUUCCUCACCAGAUAGAUACCCUUGGUGAAUAUCAUAAAAGAAGUUUCAGGAUGGAAACAUGAAUAAUCUGCAAGCAGAAUGAUUAGUGAAUUAAACAUAUAAGAACAAGUAAAGAAGCAAAAUCUCUCAUAUGCAUAUGCAUUAGCAACCUCUAUUAAAGUUCUUUAUUUACAUCUUCCUGAAUACGAACAUGUUGUCAUAAAGCCAAAAUAAGUGAUGUUGCUUAAUGCAUUUGG
Molecule: non-coding RNA, 483 nt
Organism: Lupinus albus (white lupine)
Lineage: Eukaryota; Viridiplantae; Streptophyta; Magnoliopsida; Fabales; Fabaceae
Source: the annotation of a GenBank genome assembly